CCGACAAGCGGUGGAGUAUGUGGUUCAAUUCGAUGCUACGCGAAAACCUUACCUGGGCUUGACAUGCAAGUGGUAGCGACCGAAGGGAGCGACCGGGGUUACUCUGGAGCUUGCACAGGUGCUGCAUGGCUGUCGUCAGCUCGUGCCGUGAGGUGUAUGGUUAAGUCCCGCAACGAGCGCAACCCCUGCCCAUAGUUGCUAACCAGUGAUGGUGCACUCUAUGGGGACUGCCUCCGUCAAGGAGGAGGAAGGUGGGGAUAACGUCAAGUCAUCAUGGUCUUUAUGCCCAGGGCUACACACGUACUACAGUGGCCGUUACAAAGGGAUGCUACAUCGCGAGGUGAUGCCAAUCCUUUAAAAGCGGCCAUGGUUCGGAUUGCAGGCUGCAAUUCGCCUGCAUGAAGUCGGAAUCGCUAGUAAUCGCAGGUCAGCAUACUGCGGUCGAAUACGUUCCCGGGCCUU
RNAcentral lists this ribosomal RNA (462 nucleotides) under uncultured bacterium. RNAcentral's name for it is "bacterial SSU rRNA". It matches the Rfam family "Bacterial small subunit ribosomal RNA", at positions 921 to 1382 of the family's 1533-position model. The record is from RNAcentral.